Molecule: ribosomal RNA, 425 nt
Filed under: uncultured bacterium
Lineage: Bacteria
Description: bacterial SSU rRNA
Rfam family: Bacterial small subunit ribosomal RNA
Source: RNAcentral
UGGGGAAUUUUCCGCAAUGGGCGAAAGCCUGACGGAGUGACGCCGCGUGGGGGACGAAGGCCUUCGGGUCGUAAACCCCUGUCAGAGGGAAAGAAGGGUCGGCGCGUGAAUAGCGCGUCGAUCUGACGGUACCUUCAGAGGAAGCCCCGGCCAACUCCGUGCCAGCAGCCGCGGUAAUACGGAGGGGGCGAGCGUUAUUCGGAAUUAUUGGGCGUAAAGGGCGCGUAGGCGGCCUGGUAAGUCAAAGGUGAAAUCCCUCGGCUCAACCGAGGAAUUGCCUUUGAAACUACCUGGCUUGAGGCCGGGAGGGGGUAGCGGAAUUCCCAGUGUAGCGGUGAAAUGCGUAGAUACUGGGAGGAACACCGGUGGCGAAGGCGGCUACCUGGACCGGUUCUGACGCUGAUGCGCGAAAGCGUGGGGAGCAA